ACGAUGAUGGAGAGCUUGCUCUUCGGAUUAGUGGCGAACGGGUGAGUAACACGUGAGCAAUCUGCCCUUGACUCUGGGAUAAGCGUUGGAAACGACGUCUAAUACCGGAUACGACCYUNGRAGGCAUCUNCNGNGGUGGAAAGAAUUUUGGUCAGGGAUGAGCUCGCGGCCUAUCAGCUAGUUGGUGAGGUAAUGGCUCACCAAGGCGACGACGGGUAGCCGGCCUGAGAGGGUGACCGGCCACACUGGGACUGAGACACGGCCCAGACUCCUACGGGAGGCAGCAGUGGGGAAUAUUGCACAAUGGGCGAAAGCCUGAUGCAGCAACGCCGCGUGAGGGACGACGGCCUUCGGGUUGUAAACCUCUUUUAGUAGGGAAGAAGCGAAAGUGACGGUACCUGCAGAAAAAGCACCGGCUAACUACGUGCCAGCAGCCGCGGUAAUACGUAGGGUGCAAGCGUUGUCCGGAAUUAUUGGGCGUAAAGAGCUCGUAGGCGGUUUGUCGCGUCUGCUGUGAAAACCCGAGGCUCAACCUCGGGCCUGCAGUGGGUACGGGCAGACUAGAGUGCGGUAGGGGAGAUUGGAAUUCCUGGUGUAGCGGUGGAAUGCGCAGAUAUCAGGAGGAACACCAAUGGCGAAGGCAGAUCUCUGGGCCGUAACUGACGCUGAGGAGCGAAAGCAUGGGGAGCGAACAGGAUUAGAUACCCUGGUAGUCCAUGCCGUAAACGUUGGGAACUAGAUGUGGGGACCAUUCCACGGUCUCCGUGUCGCAGCUAACGCAUUAAGUUCCCCGCCUGGGGAGUACGGCCGCAGG
RNAcentral lists this ribosomal RNA (814 nucleotides) under Cryobacterium sp. RNAcentral describes it as "bacterial SSU rRNA". It matches the Rfam family "Bacterial small subunit ribosomal RNA", at positions 66 to 892 of the family's 1533-position model. The record is from RNAcentral. Lineage: Bacteria; Bacillati; Actinomycetota; Actinomycetes; Micrococcales; Microbacteriaceae.